AUAAAAACUUUGAUAGGAAGAGUAAUUAUAAGGAAGUAGUUUUAGCGAGUGAGGAAUGGUGUAAGCCUCAUACGAUACCUAUAGUGAAGAACAUCCUUGAGUUUCCAACCGAAAUCUUUUAGAGAGUAGACUUGGACGGAGCCUAACCGUUAUAGAUAGGACAGUAUCGAUAAGUUUAUCUGUACUGAUUUAAGGUGAGCUUUUUAUAAGCUAACAUAGGUGGUACCGCGGAAAGUAUAAUAUGCCUUUCGUCCUAUUU
RNAcentral lists this non-coding RNA (259 nucleotides) under Clostridium cavendishii. Its description in RNAcentral is "T-box sequence". It matches the Rfam family "T-box leader". From Rfam's summary of the family: Uncharged tRNA acts as the effector for transcription antitermination of genes in the T-box leader family. T-boxes are found upstream of many aminoacyl-tRNA synthetase genes and some amino acid biosynthetic genes usually in Gram-positive bacteria. Lineage: Bacteria; Bacillati; Bacillota; Clostridia; Eubacteriales; Clostridiaceae. The record is from RNAcentral.